Podarcis lilfordi (Lilford's wall lizard) is the source of this 69-nucleotide non-coding RNA. NCBI's taxonomy places the organism in Eukaryota, Metazoa, Chordata, Lepidosauria, Squamata, Lacertidae. The record is from the annotation of a GenBank genome assembly.
GCCAUAGCUCAGUGGCAGAGCAUCGGCUUUGCAUGCAAAACGUCCCAGGUUUGAACCCCAGCAUCUCCA